UGCGGGCCGCGCUGCCCGCCCGCUAGCCCCCCGCCCCCGCUCCUUGCACGCUGCACGCCGGCCCGGCCCAGAGGCCCGGGGUACAGAGACCAAGGCUGGGACCCUCCACAAGUCCUGAUGGGCCACAGCCUCCAGGAAGACAGAAGACAGAUGAAUCAAGCUAUUGCAGAAGGACCCUAAGAAUUAAGACCACUUUCUGGGCAAAACUGUGAAGCAGAGGAAGGGGAGAAAAUGGAAGAAGAAAGGAGCAUGGGUUGAGAGGACCUGCUGUGUGCCAGGGUCCUAAAUCAUAAGCUUGAAAACUUCUGGAAGAAAGAAGACCGCGAAGGUGUUAAGCUGAAGGGAGCUGUGAGUUCAGAGCCUCUCCUCAGCCUAGGAGUGUGACGCAAUCAUUAAAGAUGGACU
Long non-coding RNA from Camelus dromedarius (Arabian camel), 405 nucleotides. RefSeq lists it as uncharacterized. The transcript has 4 exons. Lineage: Eukaryota; Metazoa; Chordata; Mammalia; Artiodactyla; Camelidae. The record is from RefSeq and is a predicted model, not a curated record.